This 404-nucleotide ribosomal RNA is filed under the name uncultured bacterium. Its description in RNAcentral is "bacterial SSU rRNA". It matches the Rfam family "Bacterial small subunit ribosomal RNA", at positions 355 to 776 of the family's 1533-position model. The record is from RNAcentral.
UGGGGAAUCUUGGACAAUGGGGGCAACCCUGAUCCAGCCAUGCCGCGUGGGUGAUGAAGGCCUUAGGGUCGUAAAGCCCUUUCGCUGGGGAAGACAAUGACGGUACCCAGAGAAGAAGCCCCGGCUAACUCCGUGCCAGCAGCCGCGGUAAUACGGAGGGGGCUAGCGUUGUUCGGAAUGACUGGGCGUAAAGCGCGCGUAGGCGGAUCAUCAAGUCGGGGGUGAAAUCCCGGGGCUCAACCCCGGAACGGCCUUCGAGACUGGUGGUCUUGAGUUCGAGAGAGGUGGGUGGAAUUCCGAGUGUAGAGGUGAAAUUCGUAGAUAUUCGGAGGAACACCAGUGGCGAAGGCGGCCCACUGGCUCGACACUGACGCUGAGGCGCGAAAGCGUGGGGAGCAAACAGG